This 450-nucleotide ribosomal RNA is filed under the name uncultured Glomeromycotina. Its description in RNAcentral is "SSU rRNA". It matches the Rfam family "Eukaryotic small subunit ribosomal RNA", at positions 569 to 1022 of the family's 1831-position model. The record is from RNAcentral. Lineage: Eukaryota; Fungi; Glomeromycota.
AGCAGCCGCGGUAAUUCCAGCUCCAAUAGCGUAUAUUAAAGUUGUUGCAGUUAAAAAGCUCGUAGUUGAAUUUCGGGGUUAGUAGGUUGGUCAUGCCUCUGGUAUGUACUGGUCUCACUGAUUCCUCCUUCCUUAUGAACCGUAAUGCCAUUAAUUUGGUGUUGCGGGAAAUUUGGACUGUUACUUUAGAAAAAUUAGAGUGUUUAAAGCAAGCUAACGCUUGAAUACAUUAGCAUGGAAUAAUGAAACAGGACGUUCGAUCUUAUUUUGUUGGUUUCUAGGAUUGACGUAAUGAUUAAUAGGGAUAGUUGGGGGGCAUUAGUAUUCAAUUGUCAGAGGUGAAAUUCUUGGAUUUAUUGAAGACUAACUACUGCGAAAGCAUUUGCCAAGGAUGUUUUCAUUAAUCAAGAACGAAAGUUAGGGGAUCGAAGACGAUCAGAUACCGUCGUA